CAAAUCGAUCUUACAACGGACAGGAAGUGACGUUAUCGUGUCAGGUAUUUUUGUAAGACGAUACAUGAUACUUGUGGCAUCUCUCCAGUAAAAGUUCCACUGUUGACAUUUUGAA
This is a long non-coding RNA of Haliotis rubra (blacklip abalone), 115 nucleotides long. RefSeq lists it as uncharacterized. The transcript has 3 exons. Lineage: Eukaryota; Metazoa; Mollusca; Gastropoda; Lepetellida; Haliotidae. The record is from RefSeq and is a predicted model, not a curated record.